RNAcentral lists this ribosomal RNA (547 nucleotides) under Leptobrachella sp. n. WC-2021. Its description in RNAcentral is "partial large subunit ribosomal RNA". It matches the Rfam family "Bacterial large subunit ribosomal RNA", at positions 1856 to 2619 of the family's 2925-position model. Lineage: Eukaryota; Metazoa; Chordata; Amphibia; Anura; Megophryidae. The record is from RNAcentral.
CGCCUGCCCAGUGACUAUAUGUUUAACGGCCGCGGUAUUCUGACCGUGCGAAGGUAGCGUAAUCACUUGUCUUUUAAAUAAAGACUAGUAUGAAUGGCAUCACGAGAACUAAUCUGUCUCCCUCCCCUAAUCAGUGAAACUGAUCUCCCCGUGCAGAGGCGGGGAUAAUUUCAUAAGACGAGAAGACCCUGUGGAGCUUAAAAUCAAAAAUCAACUGCUUCACCCCUCCCUAUUUAAAGGAAACAUUUACACAGACCUGAUUUAGAUUUUCAGCUGGGGCGUCUAUGAAGUAAAAAAAAUCCUUCAUGAAAAUUCAUGCUAAGAGCUACCGCUAUAGGCAUUAAUAGACUUAAUUUAAAUUGACCCAAUUUUUUUGAUCAACGGACCAAGUUACCCCAGGGAUAACAGCGCUAUCCACUUCCAGAGUCCCUAUCGACAAGUGGGCUUACGACCUCGAUGUUGGAUCAGGACAUCCAAGUGGUGCAGCCGCUACUAAAGGUUCGUUUGUUCAACGAUUAAAGUCCUACGUGAUCUGAUUUCAGACCGG